GAUGAACGCUGGCGGCGUGCCUAAUACAUGCAAGUCGAACGGAGACUUUUUAGCAAUAAGAAGUCUUAGUGGCGAACGGGUGAGUAACGCGUUGGUGACCUGCCCCAAAGUGUGGGAUAACAGUCCGAAAGGAUUGCUAAUACCGCAUGUGGUCUUCGGGAUUAGAUGCCUGAUGACUAAAGGAGUAAUCCGCUUUGGGAGGGGCCUGCGUCCCAUCAGCUAGUUGGUAGGGUAAAGGCCUACCAAGGCUAUGACGGGUAGGGGACCUGAGAGGGUGGCCCCCCACAAUGGAACUGAAACACGGUCCAUACACCUACGGGUGGCAGCAGUAGGGAAUAUUGCAUAAUGGGCGAAAGCCUGAUGCAGCAACGCCGCGUGCGCGAUGAAGGCCUUCGGGUCGUAAAGCGCUUUUCAGAGGGAUGAGGAAGGACAGUACCUCUGGAAUAAGUCUCGGCUAACUACGUGCCAGCAGCCGCGGUAAAACGUAGGAGGCAAGCGUUAUCCGGAUUUACUGGGCGUAAAGCGCGUGUAGGCGGCUCGGAAAGUUGGAUGUGAAAGCUCCUGGCUCAACUGGGAGAGGUCGUUCAAAACUUCCGGGCUCGAGGAUGGUAGAGGGAGGUGGAAUUCCGGGUGUAGUGGUGAAAUGCGUAGAUAUCCGGAGGAACACCAGUGGCGAAAGCGGCCUCCUGGACCAUUUCUGACGCUCAGACGCGAAAGCUAGGGUAGCAAACGGGAUUAGAGACCCCGGUAGUCCUAGCUGUAAACUAUGUAGACUUGGCGUCGGUGGGUUUAAAUCCAUCGGUGCCGUAGCUAACGCGAUAAGUCUACCGCCUGGGGACUACGGCCGCAAGGUUAA
RNAcentral lists this ribosomal RNA (856 nucleotides) under uncultured Chloroflexota bacterium. RNAcentral's name for it is "bacterial SSU rRNA". It matches the Rfam family "Bacterial small subunit ribosomal RNA", at positions 28 to 897 of the family's 1533-position model. The record is from RNAcentral. Lineage: Bacteria; Bacillati; Chloroflexota.